Molecule: ribosomal RNA, 769 nt
Filed under: bacterium
Lineage: Bacteria
Description: bacterial SSU rRNA
Rfam family: Bacterial small subunit ribosomal RNA
Source: RNAcentral
CGAUGAUCUCCAGCUUGCUGGGGGGAUUAGUGGCGAACGGGUGAGUAACACGUGAGUAACCUGCCCUUGACUCUGGGAUAAGCCUGGGAAACCGGGUCUAAUACUGGAUACGACCUUCUGGCGCAUGCCAUGUUGGUGGAAAGCUUUUGUGGUUUUGGAUGGACUCGCGGCCUAUCAGCUUGUUGGUGGGGUAAUGGCCUACCAAGGCGACGACGGGUAGCCGGCCUGAGAGGGUGACCGGCCACACUGGGACUGAGACACGGCCCAGACUCCUACGGGAGGCAGCAGUGGGGAAUAUUGCACAAUGGGCGCAAGCCUGAUGCAGCGACGCCGCGUGAGGGAUGAAGGCCUUCGGGUUGUAAACCUCUUUCAGUAGGGAAGAAGCCGCUCCUUUUUGGGGGUGGUGACGGUACCUGCAGAAGAAGCGCCGGCUAACUACGUGCCAGCAGCCGCGGUAAUACGUAGGGCGCAAGCGUUAUCCGGAAUUAUUGGGCGUAAAGAGCUCGUAGGCGGUUUGUCACGUCUGCCGUGAAAGUCCGGGGCUUAACUCCGGAUCUGCGGUGGGUACGGGCAGACUAGAGUGCAGUAGGGGAGACUGGAAUUCCUGGUGUAGCGGUGAAAUGCGCAGAUAUCAGGAGGAACACCGAUGGCGAAGGCAGGUCUCUGGGCUGUAACUGACGCUGAGGAGCGAAAGCAUGGGGAGCGAACAGGAUUAGAUACCCUGGUAGUCCAUGCCGUAAACGUUGGGCACUAGGUGUGGGGGGACAUU